This 141-nucleotide ribosomal RNA is filed under the name Tentaoculus haptricola. RNAcentral describes it as "partial 18S ribosomal RNA". It matches the Rfam family "Eukaryotic small subunit ribosomal RNA", at positions 414 to 559 of the family's 1831-position model. Lineage: Eukaryota; Metazoa; Mollusca; Gastropoda; Lepetellida; Pseudococculinidae. The record is from RNAcentral.
AUCUACGGAAGGCAGCAGGCGCGCAACUUACCCAAUCUCGCAACGAGGAGGUAGUGACGAAAAAUCUCGGCAGGUGUUCAUUCCACCGCGCCGGAAUGGGUGCACUGUAGGCAAGUGCGCGAGGAUCCAUUGGAGGGCAAG